CUGUUGUUGUUUCGAUAAUUAGAUAAUAAGACUUCUUUCUGAAAUGCAACCACUCGGAGAAUCAACUGCUUCGGUGUCGAUUAUAUUUCAGCCUUCUUGGAAAAACUGACAUCCCGACUGCAAUUUUAAAGCGACACCAAAUAUACUUUGACUUUCACUGUAAAAGCUAGAAGAUCGACGAUCUCGACAUCGAAUAUACUUCGGCUUUCACUGUAAAAGCCAAAAGAUCAACGAUCUCAACACCGAAUAUACUUCGACUUUCAUUAUAAAAAUCAGAGGAUUGACUAUCUCGACACUGACGACAUAUCGGUUUCCCCAAAGAAUCGAUCUAUUAACUUCAACUGGAGGCCAGCACCGACGACGUAGAUCCUCUCUACAAAAGUUGCGCUGCCCCCAUAGUCAGCUCUCCAUUGAAGCAGCUGGCUAAUUUGUCGAUUUAGCAUCAACUAAGAAAGGCAAAAUGCCAAGACGAUCGAGGUCGGAUUGAAAUUAUACCGACAUAGCCAUGGCCAGACGAGGGAUAUUUGGCUUGCCACC
Molecule: long non-coding RNA, 537 nt
Filed under: Elaeis guineensis (African oil palm)
Lineage: Eukaryota; Viridiplantae; Streptophyta; Magnoliopsida; Arecales; Arecaceae
Description: long non-coding RNA (EGUI_LNC074037)
Source: RNAcentral